RNAcentral lists this ribosomal RNA (440 nucleotides) under uncultured bacterium. RNAcentral's name for it is "partial 16S ribosomal RNA". It matches the Rfam family "Bacterial small subunit ribosomal RNA", at positions 338 to 795 of the family's 1533-position model. The record is from RNAcentral.
CCUACGGGUGGCAGCAGUGGGGAAUAUUGCACAAUGGGGGAAACCCUGAUGCAGCGACGCCGCGUGAGUGAAGAAGGCAUUCGUUAUGUAAAGCUCUAUCAGCAGGGAAGAAAAUGACGGUACCUGUGUAAUUAGCCCCGGCUAACUACGUGCCAGCAGCCGCGGGAAUACGUCGGGGGCAAGCGUUAUCCGGAUUUACUGGGUGUAAAGGGAGCGUAGACGGUUGUGCAAGUCUGGAGUGAAAGGCGGGGGCUCAACCCCCGGACUGCUCUUGAAACUGUACGGCUGGAGUGCAGGAGAGGUAAGUAGAAUUCCUAGUGUAGCGGUGAAAUGCGUAGAUAUUAGGAGGAACACCAGUGGCGAAGGCGGCUUACUGGACUGUAACUGACGUUGAGGCUCGAAAGCGUGGGGAGCAAACAGGAUUAGAUACCCGGGUAGUC